GCAUAUCAAUAAGCGGAGGAAAAGAAACCAACAGGGAUUGCCCUAGUAACGGCGAGUGAAGCGGCAACAGCUCAAAUUUGAAAUCUGGCGUCUUUGGCGUCCGAGUUGUAAUUUGCAGAGGGCGCUUUGGCAUUGGCAGCGGUCCAAGUUCCUUGGAACAGGACGUCACAGAGGGUGAGAAUCCCGUACGUGGUCGCUAGCCUUUACCGUGUAAAGCCCCUUCGACGAGUCGAGUUGUUUGGGAAUGCAGCUCUAAAUGGGAGGUAAAUUUCUUCUAAAGCUAAAUACUGGCCAGAGACCGAUAGCGCACAAGUAGAGUGAUCGAAAGAUGAAAAGCACUUUGGAAAGAGAGUUAAAAAGCACGUGAAAUUGUUGAAAGGGAAGCGCUUGCAGCCAGACUUGCCUGUAGUUGCUCAUCCGGGUUUUUACCCGGUGCACUCUUCUACGGGCAGGCCAGCAUCAGUUUGGGCGGUUGGAUAAAGGUCUCUGUCAUGUACCUCCUCUCGGGGAGAUCUUAUAGGGGAGACGACAUGCAACCAGCCUGGACUGAGGUCCGCGCAUCUGCUAGGAUGCUGGCGUAAUGGCUGUAAGCGGCCCGUCUUGAAACACGGACCAAGGAGUCUAACAUCUAUGCGAGUGUUUGGGUGUCAAGCCCGAACGCGUAAUGAAAGUGAACGGAGGUGGGAACCUUUCGGGGUGCACCAUCGACCGAUCCUGAUGUCUUCGGAUGGAUUUGAGUAAGAGCAUAGCUGUUGGGACCCGAAAGAUGGUGAACUAUGCUUGAAUAGGGUGAAGCCAGAGGAAACUCUGGUGGAGGCUCRCAGCGGUUCUGACGUGCAAAUCGAUCGUCAAAUUUGGGCAUAGGGGCGAAAGACUAAUCGAACUAUCUAGUAGCUGGUUCCUGCCGAAGU
RNAcentral lists this ribosomal RNA (911 nucleotides) under Epicoccum nigrum. RNAcentral's name for it is "LSU rRNA". It matches the Rfam family "Eukaryotic large subunit ribosomal RNA", at positions 38 to 967 of the family's 3401-position model. The record is from RNAcentral. Lineage: Eukaryota; Fungi; Ascomycota; Dothideomycetes; Pleosporales; Didymellaceae.